CCUUUGAAAGCUCAGUUGGUAGAGCGGAGGACUGUAGGCGCAAUAGCAGAGAUCCUUAGAUCGCUUCAAAUCUGUCUCGAAGGA
Molecule: transfer RNA, 84 nt
Filed under: Salmo salar (Atlantic salmon)
Lineage: Eukaryota; Metazoa; Chordata; Actinopteri; Salmoniformes; Salmonidae
Rfam family: tRNA
About the family: Transfer RNA (tRNA) molecules are approximately 80 nucleotides in length. Their secondary structure includes four short double-helical elements and three loops (D, anti-codon, and T loops). Further hydrogen bonds mediate the characteristic L-shaped molecular structure. tRNAs have two regions of fundamental functional importance: the anti-codon, which is responsible for specific mRNA codon recognition, and the 3' end, to which the tRNAs corresponding amino acid is attached (by aminoacyl-tRNA synthetases). tRNAs cope with the degeneracy of the genetic code in two manners: having more than one tRNA (with a specific anti-codon) for a particular amino acid; and 'wobble' base-pairing, i.e. permitting non-standard base-pairing at the 3rd anti-codon position.
Source: Rfam by way of RNAcentral